Long non-coding RNA from Homo sapiens (human), 4626 nucleotides. RefSeq lists it as uncharacterized. Lineage: Eukaryota; Metazoa; Chordata; Mammalia; Primates; Hominidae. The record is from RefSeq and is a predicted model, not a curated record. The transcript is spliced from 3 exons.
CUGGAGACUAGAAGAGUAGGGUUAAGGCAGGGCUCAAAGCCUGCAGGUUCUCUUUAGUAGAGCAGGCCAUACAAUAGAAAAUGCAGGACCCCAUGCAAAGCCUUUGUGCUUCUAGGAUCCCCUCGCUACAUGGACAAGGCUCAGGGUACCUCCCCUUAGACCAGGUUUCCCUAUAGGCCUGCUGAAGCGUCUGGGGGUCAGCUGGCUCUCAGAACUGGGCAAAAGGCAGUGCGCCACCUGGAAGCAGUUCUAAGGGUGAGCAGGAAGGGCAGGUGCACUCACUUGAUAUGCUGGAGCCUGUGGUUUCCAGACAGUGCUGUGGCAAUGCAUAUCGCCCCGUCCAUCCCCAGAGAAUUCUCUUGAAGACUAAGUGGAAAAGAGAUGGAGACACACGGUGAGCCAUCAGGGCAGAAGGAAAACACCCGGGGAAGCAACAGUGCAUUGUCUGGGGGCAGUAACCCAGGCAGAUGUGUCCACAGGUGCCAUGGCAACUCCAGGUGGGAGUUGACCCUGGAGACAGGUGUCUACGAGUGGCCAGAUUGUCCCACGCAAGUGCGCUGGAGGAUGUAAGGCCAUAAAUGCAAGAUGUGAGUGACUUCUGACUGAAGCUAAGCACACUCAACAAACCCAGCUGCAGUGGAAUGUGGACUAUAAUAAGUCUGAUUGUUUAUAUUCAGAAGGAAAUAGCUACAGAAGAAAUCAGGAGCAUUUUAUUCCAUCAGGGAGGACCCAGCAGAGAACUCUGCUGCUCCAGGAUGCAGGUAGGUCCCUCCAGCCACUUACUUGAGUCUCCGGAGACUUGAGUUUACCUUCAGAGCAUUUGCCAGGGCUUUGGCUCCAGCCACCCCAAUGGCAUUUCCUCUUAAGCUGUUGGGAAAGACAGGAAGCCUAAGGCAUGGGUACAGGCUGAGAGGUGAUACUGACCCCUCUGCGGGUGGGCUUGGGGCUGCUUGGUAGAGGAAACAAGGACUUCAGCAGUCACAGGAGGCCAGGGCUGUGCCUUCCUCACUCCAGGGCAACAGGGCAGAGCUGGCUCUGGGAAGCAGGGCACACAGGGGCAUGGCUGGCCUAGCCAGGAGGGUUGUUGGAGCCUUCCUCCUCUUCCAUUUCAAACAGAAAAGCGGGGCUGAGACAGGAGAGGCAGCCCUCCAUCUGGGCAGGUCCCCAGUGCUCCCAGCAAGGGCAGGAAUUCUGAGGACAUGCCUGAGCCUCAGAGCUGUAACCUCACCCCAGGACUUUGGAUCUGCCCAGAGAACAAGAUCAGCCCCCCUGGGACCCAUAAACCAGGCCUCUAGACGUGUUCAGCCUGGCAAGGCCAACCCGGAGAGGAGGGCAAAUGAUAGCGACUCCCAGGGAAAGGCAUGAAGUGGGGCUGGGAAACUGGUAUACUUGCACUGAAAUGAAGAUCACCAGGAUGAUUUGUGAGUUGUCUGUAAACUUUGUCCCCAUAUCUAUUCAUUGAGAAUUCAUUGAUUUCUUUGGGCUAAAGACCAUAGAUGGAGACUGGAAUACUUACUCGAGAAUCUCCAAGGUUCUGUUCACAGCCAAGGCUUCCCCUAGCACCUGGGCGCCUGAAGCACCAAUUGAGGCCACCUGGAGACUGGGGCGGAGAGGGUGCCGUCAGUGUGAGCCGGCUGGGCCCACCUCCCUCCGCAUACUCCGUUCCCUUUCACCACCCCUUGACUCAGGAUGGAAAGUGGAGAAACAGCACUGAGAAUGGUUGGCCAGCGCUGUGUCUAGGCACUCCAUCUCCUACCUACACUGUCUGUUGCCUAAGACAGAGAUCUGGAUGCUAAGGAGAUGAGAAAUAGAGGCUGUCCCUGGAAGGGCUCGGGGAGAAUGCUCCCUGUACCUCCUCAUUACUACUCUCUAGGUGUUUGAGCCCCCAACUGCUAAUAUCAUAUUUCCUAUAUUAGGAAAAUCAAACACACCUUCCUUGACUUGUAAACAAAAAUAACGUCCAGGCCAGGUGUGGUGGCUCACACCUGUAAUCCCAGCACUUUGGGAGGCUGAGGUGGGCAGAUCACCUGAAGUCAGGAGUUUGAGACCAGCCUGGCCAAUAUGGUGAAACCCCGUCUCUACUAAAAAUACAAAAAUUAGGCUGGGUGUGGUGGUGCACGCCUGUUAUCCCAACUACUGUAUGGGAGGCUGAGGCUUGAGAAUCACUUGAACCCAGGAGGUGGAGGUUACAGUUAGCUGAGAUUAUGUCACUGCACUCCAGCCUGGGUGGCAGAGCAAGACUCUUGUCUCGAGGAAAAAAAAAAAAAAAAAGACCUCUAACGUGAAAGGAUGGCGAAGGGACCGGUUUCCUGACUGCUGCGCACAUCUAGGACUUACUAGAGAGCAGUGAGGGCUGUGUUGACCUUCAGUGCACGGGCCACCGCACACGCUCCGUCAUCCCCGAUGGCGUUCUCCUGUAAACUAGACACAGAGUAUGACCCCUUUGGGUGCACGGGGCACAGGGAGCAUUCUAGCAAGGCCCUGCCGCACUUGGACCUGCCAGGUUUAACCGACUACACACACCAUAGACACUCCCAGGGUUUCCUGGGGAUAACUGCCCUUCCUCCACAGGCCCUGCAGCCCGCCGCCUCAUACUAAGCACACAGAGGCGUCUGGGGCCUGCAUGAGUCUGAACCGCCAGAGGCAAGCAGGAAAUGGGACAUAUAGAGUGACUGUCAGCAGGGGCUUGGGACCCAAAAGGGGAUGCUUUUCACAGCCAACCAGAAAAUGAACUUAAAGCCCUCAAUCCCUGAGCCAUUCUUGUUUGUCUUGUUUUCUCUUGAGACAGGGUCUCACUCUGCCACCCAGGCUGGAAUGCAGUGGUGAGAUCACGGCUCACUGCAGCCUCAACCUCCCAGGCUCAAGCGAUCCUCCCACCUCAGCCUCCCGAGGAGACUAAAGUACUUAACUAGAGACGGGGACUACAGGCACAUGCCCCCAUGCCCGGCUAAUGUUUUUAUUCUUUUAUAGAGAUGGGGUCUCACUAUGUUGCUCAGGCUGGUCCUGAACUCCUGGGCUCAAGCAGUCCUCCCACCUUGGCAUCCCAAAUUGCUGGCAUUACAGGCAGGAGCCACCACGCCCAACCUCCUUGGCCAUUCUUGCUAAUUAGGGCUUUGUGUCAUUUUUUCCCCUUCUAAGUUGGAGGGAACUAGCAGGCCCUGGUGCAGUGAGUGACUGAGUUUAGCUCAAGCGCACACUGGUAUGUUCAAGGCCAAGAGCUGUUUGCAUUCAUUAUUUUAACAGACAUUUGAGUGUGGCCGGGCGCAGUGGCUCACACCUUUAAUCCCAGCACUUUGGGAGGCUGAGGUGGGUGGAUCACUUGAGGUCAGGAGUUCGAGACCAGCCUGGCCAACAUGGUGAAACCCCGUCUCCACUAAAAAUACGAAAAUUAGGCUGGGUGGGUGUAUUUUUAGUAGAGACAGGGUUCUCUGUCUCUACUAAAUUAGCUGGGAGUGGUGGAGGGCACCUGUAGUCCCAGCUACUGGGGAGGCUGAUGCAGGAGAAUCACUUGAACCCAGGAGGUGGAGGUUGCAGUAAGCCGAGAUCCCGCCACUGCACUCCAGCCUGGGCGACAGAGUUAGACUCCGUCUCAAAAAAUUAAAAUGAAAAAAAAAAUAAGAAAGACAACAUUUGAGUGUGUCUCAUGUGCUAGGUGUUGUAUAAGGCAGCAGGCCUGAGUCCCCCUCUCGAAGCUCAGGUGGGAAGACAUGAUUAAAUGAGCAGGUACAACAGGCCAAGUGCAGGCUGCAGGGAAAAGCAAGCAGCAUCUCCCACCCCAGGGUGUCAACAGAAGGCUCCCAGAAGAAAUAGGUCAAAACCCGAACCCAAAGUGGGGAGUGUGCCUGGCUCAGCUAAGGAACCCAAACGAAUUGAAUUCCUGGGGAAGUGAGAAAUGAGUCCAGGGAGGGACAAAGGAAGCAGAUUUUAGGGGUCCCAGAAGCCACCCUGAGGGGCUGUGUGUACUUUACUCUGCAGGCCCUGGGCAACCAUUCAAGGAUGGCACCCAAGAUGGGACAGAGCUGCUCUGGAAAGGUCUCUGGCCAGCAGUGUGAGAGGAUGGACUGAGGUGGAGGCUACCACAGGGAUGGAGGAGUCUUAGAACCUGCUCCAAAUGAAGUAUGGAUAUUAUGUCCAGAUGCUACCCAGGGGCUGAAUCAUGGGAAUCAGGGAAGAACAGACAGAGAACUUCAAUUCACAGCAUUCGUCCAGGCCACCUCUGUAUAAAUGUUCUCAAAUUCUAGAGUGCUUCCAUCCCUCUGGGACUUUUAUGGCAUUUUAUAAGUUGUAUUUAACUUCUAGGUGAAAUAGGGAUGUGGCACUGAGGAUCAACUACAGAGAGAGGUAAAGAAGAGCAUGUGGCCAGAGAAGAGAUUUUUGGCUUCAUUCAGAAUAAUUUACUUUUAUUUUUAUUUUUAGUAAAGAUGGCAUCUUGCCAUAUGUUUGCCAGGUUGGUCUUGAACUCCUGGCCUUAAAGAAUCUCCCCACCUUCCAGAUUGCUAGGAUUAUAGGAAGGAGCCACUGUGCCUGGCCCCCGAAUAAUUUCUGAGCACUACCUAGUCUGCUUUAAGCAAAACUAAAAGUUGGCUAUUUUGUCAUGUGCUAAAAAUGCAGGAGGCGCUCACAGAG